RNAcentral lists this ribosomal RNA (533 nucleotides) under uncultured bacterium. RNAcentral describes it as "bacterial SSU rRNA". It matches the Rfam family "Bacterial small subunit ribosomal RNA", at positions 486 to 1018 of the family's 1533-position model. The record is from RNAcentral.
GAAAGGGACGGCUAACUACGUGCCAGCAGCCGCGGUAAUACGUAGGUCCCGAGCGUUGUCCGGAUUUAUUGGGCGUAAAGCGAGCGCAGGCGGUUUGAUAAGUCUGAAGUUAAAGGCUGUGGCUCAACCAUAGUUCGCUUUGGAAACUGUCAAACUUGAGUGCAGAAGGGGAGAGUGGAAUUCCAUGUGUAGCGGUGAAAUGCGUAGAUAUAUGGAGGAACACCGGUGGCGAAAGCGGCUCUCUGGUCUGUAACUGACGCUGAGGCUCGAAAGCGUGGGGAGCGAACAGGAUUAGAUACCCUGGUAGUCCACGCCGUAAACGAUGAGUGCUAGGUGUUGGAUCCUUUCCGGGAUUCAGUGCCGCAGCUAACGCAUUAAGCACUCCACCUGGGGAGUACGACCGCAAGGUUGAAACUCAAAGGAAUUGACGGGGCCCGCACAAGCAGUGGAGUAUGUGGUUUAAUUCGAAGCAACGCGAAGAACCUUACCAGGUCUUGACAUCCCGAUGCUAUUUCUAGAGAUAGAAAGUUACU